This 20505-nucleotide long non-coding RNA is filed under the name Citrus maxima (pomelo). RNAcentral describes it as "long non-coding RNA (CMAX_LNC003310)". The record is from RNAcentral. Lineage: Eukaryota; Viridiplantae; Streptophyta; Magnoliopsida; Sapindales; Rutaceae.
UAAAUAUGCUAACAAAAGCAAAACAUACAUAUAAUCCCUCUCAUGAACACCGCACUAAUUAACUAAAGUUGUGUGAUAAACGAAACAAACUUAUUGAUCAGCUCUACAGCUUUUUCACAUUUAAGAUUGUCGAAAUAGAAGCUAUGCCCUUCGCCGUGAGUCUCAAAAAGCUCCACCGUUCCUUUCCACCCACUUUUCUUCAAGUCUUCGUAGUAAUUCAUAGCCACAGGUUUCAAAAAAUCUUUCUCGGCCACAAAUAUCAAAACCCUCUCACACCCAAGCCUGGCCAGAUCCUCUGCGGGCAUUUCAGCCGAGGAUCCUGCAACUCCCCGUUUGUUGGACACAUGUACAACCUCAUCUCAUCUUCUUCAGGACUAGUGCCACCGAAAAAUGGAUGCACCAUAAUAACCCAAACCAACUUUACACGGGGUAACCCGAUUGACCCGACCGGAAACGCCAGAGUGUGUGCAAUAUUCCCUCCAGCACUGCCUCCUCCAAUGAAAACUCUCCUAAAAUCAGUGUGAUCAUUCAACCAGGGCUCGGGUCCAUUUCCACCAGCAUGGGACGCCACCCAGUUGAGUGUAGCCCACGAGUCUUCGUAACAAGCGAGUAUGGGUCGAUCCGGGAAGAGCUUGUAUUCCACGGACACCACUAUAGCGUUAGCUUGUGCAGAAACGACACUACAGAAAUUAUGAUACAGCGGACCAAAGGCGGACCGCCUGCAGAAUCCGCCGCCAUGCAAGUAGAAUAAGAGAGGGAGGCACAAUUGUACUUUUUUUUUUUUUAAUUUGGGAAGGAAAUUUCUGUUGAACAUGUGAAAAGUGAAAACAAUGGGAGACACAAUUGUACUUUUUUAGACAAAAUCUCAUGGUAAGCCACACACCCGUAGUAAAAUACUAUGUAAUGAAAAAAAAAAUGAAUUUAAAUACUUUAUAUAAGUUGCAAACUGGAAUCAGAUAUUGGAAUUUAUAUUUCCGGAUUUCGAUUGAACGACUCUCUAUAACUCUUCAAUUAUUGAAAUGUUAAUCAGUUAAUUAUGUUCUGUCAAUACCAAUUCAAUCACAAGUAUGGCGACAUGAAAAAUAAUAAAACAAUCACAAUUGACAAUUAGUAUUUGCUUUCAAUACUAUUUCUGGGGGAACCAUUAUUUUGCUUGAUGAAGGAGAUGAAUUUAUUGGUCAACUCCAAAGCAUUUGUACAUGUAGGGUUUCUCAAAUAAAAGACAUGCUUCUCAUCGAGAUGCUCAACGAGCUCCACUCUCCCUUUCCAUCCACUUUUCUUCAACUCCUCGUAGUAAUUUUUCCCAGCGGGACACAAGUAGUCUCUCUCAGCCACAAAUAUCAAAACCCUCUCACACCCAAGCCUAGCCAGAUCCUCUGCGGGCGGUUUCAUCCUAGGAUCCUGCGGCCCAUCAUUACUUGCACACAUGUACAACCACAUCUCAUCGUCCUCCGUACCGCCAAAAAAUGGGUGUACCAUCGUCACCCCAACCAAGUUCACACCGGGUAGCCCGAUUGAUCCGACCCGGAACGCCAGAGUGUGUGCGAUGUUCCCUCCUGCACUGUCCCCACCAAUGAAAACUCUCCCAAGAUCAGCAUGAUGAUUCAACCAUGGGUCAGGUCGGUUUCCGCUAACAUGGGAGGCCACCCACUUGAGUGCAGCCCACGAGUCUUCGUAACAAGCGGGUAUGGGUCGAUCCGGGAAGAGUCCGUACUCCACGGAUACGACUAUGGCAUUCGCUUGAGAAGAAACGGUGUUACAGAAAUCAUGAUAGGGCUUCGCAAAGGCGGAUAACGUGCAGAAUCCACCGCCAUGCAUGUAGAGUAAGAGAGGGAACUUUUGUUUAUCAGAGUUUGUUACUUUAGGAAUGAAAAUACGGGCGGAUACCGUUGGUUGAGAUGAAAUAACAACAUCUUUGGAUCGGACGCAGCUGAUGGGGUCGGAAGAACUCGAGGCAGCCGUCAUUGUAAACCCGGAAAAAUGGGAACUCUUUGAUAAUUUCUUUAGGGCUUGAACUUGAUGCCGUUAAAGAAUACUGAGUAAAACAAUAAGUAAAAAUAAUAAAGAAAAGAAAAAGGAGUGGUCCCGCGCACUAUUUUGAAACUGGCAUAACGUUUUAUAAUUGGAAAAUGUUAAAUAUGAAGAAGAAUGAGAGAAAACUGAGAAAAUGAAGUAUGUGCUGAGAGAAGAGAGAGAGAGAAAAAGCCGACAGAAGAGAGAGAGAUGAAAUAAAAAAACAGCCAGUAGUUUCUCUUAGUAAGAGAGAGAGUAUGCAUGCAGCUUUCUUCUGAGGUAGAGUAGAGGAUGGCAAACUUGUUUCCCAGGGACUAAACUCUGCUUGUAAUUCGAAGCUUUCAAUCUUUUAUAAUUCACAAUUGCUGUGAAAUGGAUCAGUCACAAACGGCAGCAAUGAAUGACGAAUUCCAUCAAAUAAUGUUCUUACUAAGUUGUGUGUUGUGUUUGUAGAGUUUAAUUGAGGUACAGACAUACUCUAAUAAUAUGCCAUUUUUGUGCAUAUUUAUUUAGUUUGGUAUCAUCACUUGUUUUCACAUUUGUUCGUAUUGUAUAAUCAUACUGUAUUUUAUUAACAAGUUGUUUCUUUCAUAAAUUAAAAUGCCUUAUAAACAUAUUCAUAGUUCCUCUUUACAUUUUAUUUUAGGUUUGUUUUCUUUUUUAACACCAGUUUUCUUUUAAGUCAAUAGCAACUCAAUUUUCUCUCUAUUUAUGUGAGCGGAGUUUGAACUCUAAAUAUUUUAUUUUUAAUACGAGAGAUUUUAUUAAUAACCUUAACAUAUGCAUUACAUCAAGUUCAAGCCUACGAGUAAAUCCUUCCUGUUGCAGUGCCCGUAACAGGAAGGAUUUUAUUAAUAACCUUAACCCAAAAUAUACUAACAAAAGCAAAACAUACAUAUAAUCCCUCUCAUGAACACCGCACUAAUUAACUAAAGUUGUGUGACAAACGAAACAAACUUAUUGAUCAGCUCUACAGCUUUUUCACAUUUAAGAUUGUCGAAAUAGAAGCUAUGCCCUUCGCCGUGAGUCUCAAAAAGCUCCACCGUUCCUUUCCACCCACUUUUCUUCAAGUCUUCGUAGUAAUUCAUAGCCACAGGUUUCAAAAAAUCUUUCUCAGCCACAAAUAUCAAAACCCUCUCACACCCAAGCCUAGCCAGAUCCUCUGCGGGCGGUUUCAGCCGAGGAUCCUGAAACCCUGCGUUUGUUGGACACAUGUACAACCAGGUCGCAUCUUCUUCAGGACUAGUGCCACCGAAAAAUGGAUGCACCAUGAUCACCCCAACCAAUUUUACACAAGGUAACCCGAUUGUCCCGACCCGAAACGCCAGUGUGUGUGCAAUAUUCCCUCCAGCGCUGGCUCCUCCAAUCAAAACUUUCCCAAAAUCAGCGUGAUCAUUCAACCAUGGCUCGGGUCCAUUUCCGCUGACAUGGGACGCCACCCAGUUGAGUGCAGCCCACGAGUCUUCGUAACAAGCGGGUAUGGGUCGAUCCGGGAAAUUCCCAUAUUCCACGGACACCACUAUAGCAUUAGCUUGUGCAGAAAAGACGCUACAGAAAUUAUGAUACCGCGGACCAAAGGCGGACUGCCUGCAGAAUCCGCCGCCACGCAAGUAGAAUAAGAGAGGGAGCUUAUUCUGGUUAGGGUUUUGGGCUUCAUACGGAAUGAAGAUACGAGCAGACACGGGUGGUUCGGACGAAAUAACAACGUCUUUGGAUCGGACGCCGGUGGUGGAGUCAUCGGAGGGUUGGAUUUUUUCGCAGUCGGGUUCGAAUAACUCAACCCGGCCGUCUUUGUAAACCCGGAAGAAUCGGAAUUCUUUUGCAAUUUCCGAGUCGCUUGAUGCCAUGUUUUUAAUUUGAAGCUUCGGUUUGAAAUAUAAUAAUAAAAGAGAAGAAGGGUUCUUUGUGUUUGUGCUGUUUGGUGAAAGAGGGAGAGCCAUCAAACGCUUUAUAAUAUGGGAACGUACGUAGCUACCUAACUUUCAAAGCAUCUUCUCGCCCUACGUGGCUACCUAACUUUCACAGCAUCUUCUCGCUCAUAAGUAUCUGUUUCUUUGACAGUUAUUUUUUCUUUCUUUCAUACCUUUUUCUUAUCAGUAAAUAGUUACGAUGCACGAAUUGACGUUGAUAUUCCUUUUUUUCACACCUUUUUCUUGUCAGUAAAUAUUUACGAUACGCGAAUUGACGUUGAUAUUCCUUUUUUUCAUACCUUUUUCUUAUCAGUAAAUACUUACGAUGCACGAAUUGACGUUGAUAUUCCUUUUUUUCAUUCCUUUUUCUUGUCAGUAAAUAUUUACGAUACACGAAUUGACGUUGAUAUUCCAAUUAUAGAUACGGCCAUACGGGUCCGCCUAAGUUACAGUUAAUCUAAUUUACAGCUGCCCUGUAAAUGAUGUUAUGAUAUAUAUAUUUUUAUUUUGAAAAACUAACAUGUAAAUGGUAAUUAUAUUAAAUUUAAUUAUACAUAUUAUACAUGUAUUAGUUGAUUGUAUUAUCUCUAAUAUAUUCUAGAAUUCUUCCCAACAUUAAUAAGAUUAUUCGAAGGAUUAAUGAAUUAGAAGGAUUAGAAUUUAGUAUUCGACUGCGUUUUUAUUUGAACACUGAAUUAAUAGUUAGGAUUAUUUUUAUUUUUUUCUCUUGUCUAACGGUUUUUACUCUCUUAUUUCUUUUUUCAAUUUGUCUUUAUUUUAUUGGGGUUAGAAACUCAUUCUUUUUUAUUUUUCACACACUAAAAUCACCGGCAGUGGAUCCACCUCAUAACCAGUGGUGGUUUAAACCCCCACUAGAGAAAAUAAUUUCAAAAAAUUAAAAAAAUUACUUGAGUUACUAAUUAUCCCUGUUAAAUUUAUAAAAGUAGCCCCAUAAACUUAUAAGCCCAUAUAAUUUAAGGAUAAAGAUCAUUUCAUGGUAUGAACAUAUUUGAACAUUGAAGAAUCUUUUAACAUUUAUACAUUGUUAUUUGAGUGAUGAUACAGUCACAAACUCUUGUACAAAUUUAUCUUAUACAAACUGAUUUGUCAUUAAUUAAUUAGUUAAAUGAAAAUACAAAAUAAUAAAAAUAGAACAUGUGGGUCAAGAGAUAUUUAAUUCAACCAAUUUUAUCAUGUCACAUCAGUUUGUACAAAAUAAAUUUGUACAAGAGUUUGUCGCUAUAUUAUUAUUCUUUAUUGUUAAAAAAAAUCAUAUUUUUAAAAAUAAUUUUUUCUUUACUUUUCAAAAUUUAUUGUAGGAUAAAGUAAUUUUACCAAAAGAGAUUUUUAAACAAAAUUCACUAAACAGAAAAUAAUUUUAAUUUUUUAAAAUUACUUUUAAGUUUUAAAAGCAUUCUGAAAUGUUAAAUUGAGACCUUAGGCAUAAAACCAAGAAAAAAAAAAACUCUUACGAAAGGCUGACGAACAAAAUAUUUUAACUUUAAAUGAGUAGAAAACAUAAGAAAAGGUAAACAUGUAUCACGGGUGCUAUACGACAGCUCUUUCUACCAAGGCUGUAUCGGGUAAAAUGACCCUACUUCUUUUAAUUAUUAUUUAAUAUUUUUAAUAAUAAAGAAAAAGACAUCAUAAAUAAGGGUCCAGCUAUAGUACUACAAUAAUAUCAUACCACAGCUGAAUUCAUAAUAGUAUUACAUUAUGUGCUGAAUCCAAUGACUGAAUGGUAUGGUAGCCAUAAUUUUGCCCCAAAAAUAAUUGUUGGCCCCGCCAAUUACUUCUUUACAAGACGACAAGAAGACUUGUCUCUAUCAAAGCAAUACUCCUUUUAUUAUUUAAUAUUUUAAUAAUAAAAGUUUAUAAUUAAUUUAGAACUGAUCUAAAAUACAUUACAAUUUUAAUCAUAUAAUUAUAAAAGAAUGUUAUCCAACAUCACUAGAUCCCAUUAAUAAUUAUUGGCCUAACACUAUAAAAGCCAAUUGCUUUUUUGAGGAAAUCGAUUAUCAAACACUCAGUUUGUACGGAGCUCCUCAUGGGUCCGCCUGAGUUACAUUUAAUGUAACUUACCGGCAGCUUGUGAAAUUUUAUCUAACCCCCUAUACUCUAUUAUAAUUUUAUUUUAUUCAUAAAUAUUAUAAACUUUUUGAAUUAUAAAUUUUUGUUUAACUCUUUAUACUCAAUUUUAUUUUAUUAAAAUCUUAGAGUAUGAAUUCGCCCCCAUAAUUUUAAAUUCUCAAAAUAACCUCCAUUUAAUUAAAAAAUAUAAUAAUUAUUAAAUGAAUUAUAAUAAUUAUUAUUAUUUUAUUAUAAUCAUAAAUAUAAUUAUAUUUUUAAAAUGGAUUAUUGUUAUUAUUAAUAACAAUAAUAAAAAGCAUUAUAAUUAAUUAAUCUAUUAACAAUAAUUAAUGAUAAUUAUUAUUAAUAAUUAAUUUUUGAAUACUAAUAACAAUAAUAAUAAUAAUUAAAAUAAAAAUUAAUACUUAUGAUAAAAAUUAAUUAAAGAUUUUAUGACAAUUGGUUUACAAUUUAAUUUAUUCUGAUUUUGACUCUAAAAAAAAUAAACAAAUAAAUGGUAAUACAACUCAUUCUAAUUACGAUUUCUUCAACUUAAGUAAAUAAAUUAUAAUGUUAUUCUGUUUAUUUAUUUAUUUUUCUCUGAAGUGUUUUCUAGAGAGAGAGAGAGAGAGUGUGUGUGUGUGUAGAUUUUUUUAACUUUUGAAAAUAGUCACAUUUUGUAAAAUCUUAUGAUAGGAUAAGAUGUAGAUCAAUUUUAACUCGAUGAAAAUAUAUUGUCUGUUAGAAAAAAAUAAAUUAAAAAUAAAUAUUGGAGAAAAUAUAUUAUUAAGUGAAUAAUAAUAAUAAUAAUUUUAAUUUUAAUUUAUUUACUUAAACUGAAGAAAUCGUAAUUAGAAUGAGCUGUAUUACAAUUUAUGUGUUUAUUUUGUCUUAGAAUCAAAAUCAGAAUGAGUUAAAUUGUAACCAAUUACUAUAAAAUCAUUAAUUAAUUUUUAUCAUAAUUAUUAUUUUGUAUUUUAAUUAUUGCUAUUGUUAUUAUUAUUCAAAAAUUAAUUAUUAAUAAUAAUUAUCAUUAAUUAUUAUUAUUAUUAUUAAUUUAAUAAAAAAUAUUAUUAAUUAAUGUCAAUAGGUUAACUAAUUAUAAUUCUUUUUAUUAUUGUUAUUAAUAAUAAUAAUAAUCUAUUUUAAAAAUAUAAUUAUAUUUAUGAUUAUAAUAAAAUAAUAAUUAUAAUAUAAUUCAUUUAACAAUAAAUAUAUUUUUUAAUUAAAUAUAGGUUACUUUGAGAAUUUAAAAUUAUGGGGGCGAAUUCAUACUCUAGGGUUUUAAUAAAAUAAAAUUGAGUAUAACGUGUUAAAUGAAAGUUUAUAAUUCAAAAAGUUUAUAAUAUUUAUUAAUAAAAUAUAAAUAACAUAAAGUAUAGGGAGUUAGCUAACAUUUCACAGACCCACUGGAAGUUACAUUAAAUGUUACAUUUUACGAACAAAAUUUUUUAAAUUUUAAAUGAGUAGAAAACAGAAGAAAAGGUAAACGUGCAUCACGUGUGCUGUACGGCAGCUCUUUCUACCACGGCUUUAUUGUACCUCUUCUGAUUAUUAUUUAAUAUUUUUAAUAAUAAAGAAGACUUGUCUCUAUCAAGGCAAUGCUCUUUUUAUUAUUUAAUAUUUUAAUAACAAAAGGCCAUGAUCAUUUUGGAACUGAUCUAAAAUAUAUUAUAAUUUUUAUUAUGUAAUUAUGGAAGAAUAUUUUCAACAUCACUGGACUCCACAAAUAAUAAUUGGCUUAAGACUAUAAAAGCCAAUUAGUUUUUCAGGCUAUAGAUUGCUCACUCAAUACUCAUGAUGCCAAUGCAUUAUUGCUUGUCAUUCUAGGCUUGUUUGUGUCUUUGGAAAAUUUUCAUUCCAGCCUGUCCACCCACUAGGUUGCCAUGAAGUAAUAAUAAAUAUAAUAAGUUAUUAUUAAAAAACAAAAAAAUCAGUUUGUACGGAGCUUCUCACAUAAUGCUCUUUACUUCUCAGCUUCCUCUGCGGAUCACAUCGUAGGCCACCCACCCUACCAACCUAUCGAGAGUCGAGACCUGUGCUUUUAGUUUUGUUUCCCAUGACCUCAACAAGGAGAAUCGCCUCUGUCAACUACUAGGUAAUUUUAUCAGUAUUUAAGUCUUGGGUUUAAAAAAUUAAAAAAUAAAAAAAUUAAAAAAAAAAGAUAAAUAAUUUUAAAUUUCAUAAGCAAUGGGCCCACUAUUUAAAUUAUUAUUAUUAGCAGCAGCAGCAACUCUGUAAGGGUAAAGCUACUGAUCUGAGUUUCAUUUUGGAUUCAUCGAGCUCAAUUUUCUGAAUUUUGUUAGCUAAAAUUUUCAAAUUCUCUGAAUUCCCUUGUGAAGCAACCAAGUUCGCUUGGCCAGCAGCCUCUUGAAGCAGCACGCCGUAAUCAAGCUUUCAAAUUUGCUUCAACUUUCACAACUAUCCUUUGUCCUUUCAUUUUUUUUUUAAUCUAUUUUAAAAAGAGAUUAUUAGUUUUCCACCUUUGAAAUCGAUAUAUACUACUUAUCCUCUAUUGUUUUUAUAAUAUCUAAUAAAUAUUUGAUACUAAAUUUUUUUUUUAAAAAAGAAGACAUAAUAUCCAAUAAUCUCAUGACACUAAAAAUUUAAAAGAAAAGAGAGGAAUAAAUAAGUUAUUUAUUUGAUAUUUGAUCUUAGAAAUAAAAAAAAUACAUUUAUUAAAAUAAUUUUUUUUCAAAUUAACAAAAAGCACAACAAAAUUAUCUCAAAAAGCACAACAAAAUUAUCUUACUAUUAAUUUUUUAUUUACCUAAGAUUUAUAUUUCUUAUUUUUAGUAUUUAUUUUUUAUUUUAAAUUUAAUCAUACAAAUUAUUUAAUUUAUAAUAAAUAUAAAUAUAAAUAUCUUCAAAAAUAAUGGCAAUAAUAUAAAGGGAGAAUGCUAAGGUACAGUCUGUGUACCUUACAGCACCCUCACAAAAUGAUCGUGGGCUCCACGUCGGCUCACUUUUCAUUUUACUGUGCAAGCGUGGCUGUAAGGUGCAGAACCUGUAAGUUAGCCUCCCUCCAACAUAAAGUAGUGGUGCUAGGAAUUAUUGAAUAUUACAAUAAUAAUAACAAAAAUAAAUAAUAUACACUGAUUUUAAGUGGAGUGGAGGAAAUUUACCGUCACCCUUUUCAAUUAACAUUACAUCUGGGAUUAUUUUUUGUCACCCCAUAAGAAUCGAUAAAUAUUACCAAGUAUCCUAAUUUUUCGACAACUAUUACUGCACACCGAUUCUGUUAAAAAUUACCAUUAACCUUAGUGAUUUUAUCAGAUAUAUAUUGAAACCACCAUAAUACCUCCACAUAAAUUGAAUUGACUAUAAAUACUGAAAUUAUAAGAAUAUAUUAAUUGGCAGUUGACACUUUAUUUUCUUCAAAAAAAAUAAUUAUAGAAUGUGUAAAAAUAAUGUUAAUUGUAAACUGAAAUAAUUAAAAUUAAAUUAAAGUUUAUUUUUUUGAAGAAAUUAUAUUAAAACCCAGGAGACAUCUCCAACGCCAAGCUUCAGCAUCAUGGCAUUUCCCAGUAUUUAUAGCGAUAACCAAAUAUAUGCUUUGAAAGCAACAAAAACAACAACAUAAACUUCCAAUUUCAUAGCACAAUCAAAAUAAUUUAUUAUAUCAAACAAAUUGUCAAUUACCUAAACCUAAAAAUUAAUAAACAAUAGCAUGGAAAACCCUAAAAUUUUAAAAUUGGGAUUUUAUAGUUGUUAGUCACCAUUGUUGGUGCCGCAUCUGUCAGGGUAGUGCAAUUGGUUAUGUGACUCUUGUGACGUCGAUGGAAGGAAAAAGUGAAAACCCUUGUUGUGGAGCAUGAAUGGAGAAGAGAAGAAAAUGAGCAUUUGUUGCCGAGUAUAAACGGGGGAGAGAAGAUGGAGCGUGAAUGGAGUCAUGGAGAAGGAAGAGAAAAAAUAAUUUUUUCCCUUUUUUCUUUAUUCAUCCGUUUAACUUUACUAUUCUACCAUUAUAGCAGUUAAGUUAAUGGUGAUCGCUAAUGGAAUAAGUGCGCAGCCAUAGUUAUUGAAAGAUUAAAGUGUACAGUAAUAUUUGUCGAUUCUUAAGUUGAUUCUUAGGGGGGGAUGGCGAAAAAUAACCCUCACACUUGGCUCGUUGGUAACCAAAAUGAUUUGACAUUUUCCACAACACAUCAAAUCAAACUUUUCUGGCGUGAUGUCGCACAGAUGAUGCGGUCCUCCUUGUAAGAGCCUCUUACUAGAACUAAUAAUAUUUGCCUUGCCAUCUACUCCUUAAAAGUAUACAAAAUAUUUUCUAGGGAAAAACCUGAUUCAUCCUCGUAUAUGCAUAAUGUUAGGUUUAAAAUUAAAUAGAAGCACUCGAGAAAAAUUAUUUAAAGCUAGCAUAUACCAAAAUGAAGAAUAUAAUUUUGAACCAACCUUUUUUUUUAUUUAAAGCUAGCAGAGGGAAAUUUUUAAAUUGGGAAAAAUAAAAUUUUUAGAUGAAAUUAAAAAAUGAUUCUCUAGAAAAGCUAGGACCUGCUUGGUUCCAAUUGUAAUUGCCUUUCCUUCUUCUUAGUUUUUAGAAUAUAAACUAUUUUUUUUAAAGAGACUCACACUAUCAUGGAUUUACUGGGCGCUCAUCCAUUGCUAUUAUCUUUUUCCCACUUUUCAUCUUUCUUCUUCCAUCAACAGUAAAUAUUUAUUAAUUUAAAUAAAUUAAAUCCAAUGUUUAUUUAACUGUGUUGCGCCUUUUGUAAUUUUCUACGCAUCUAUAUUUAUACAUAAAGAGAUAAAUUAAAUAACUGAUCACCAACUCCAAAUCUUAUCACACCUAUAUAUAUUUAUAAAAUUUUUCUAUGAUGCCGUAUAAAUUUUUAUGGUAUUGAUAAUAGGGUCACUUAUGGGCCCUUGAAUCUAGAUGUUUUAAUUUUCACCAUUUAUUUAAUUUAGUAAAUGAAUAACUAAUUACUUAAUAAUGAAUGGAUAAUAUUUGUGUUUAUGGAUAUAAGUUUAUAUUUUUUAUAAUUUGAUAAAUAUUUUCUAAUCGCCAACAAAAUUAAAUAUUCAAUAUGCAGAUAUACAAAUUAAUUUAUAUGUUUAAACAACGAAUAUGAAUUAUUUAAUAUUCAACAAUACAUGUUAAUUCAAAUCCUUUUUAUAAUUUAUAAUUAUAAAAAAUAUAAUUUUGAAUUCUUAGUUCUAUUUGUUGUCUAUUUUCCUUUUAAAUUGCUCAUUGUCUAAGAUUGAGUUAAUUAAUUGUUGUAAUAUUUAUUAAUCUAGCAACUUUUUUUUUUUGUUGUUGCUGAAGAAGAGAUAAUAAUAAUAGAAUAAAUUAAGAUUGAGUUGUGUUAAUAUUAAAAUACAUAAAAGGAAAUAUAGAAGUUUCAAUAAACUAUAGUUGUUUCUUUUUCAUUAAUCUUUAAAAAAUCUUUUAAAUAAUUGAAAUUAAAUAUUGUCCUAACUAAGUGGCCGUUCAUUUUUUUGACAUAAUGACUUAAUUGAUUUAAUUUUAAUCAGUUAGGUAAUUAAAUCUGUUUAUUUUUACAACUUAAUGAACAAUUUCAGCUAUUAAAUCAUUAAGUUAUUAACUAAUUUUUUUAGCCUUUUACUUAAUAUAAAAAGUCUAAAUGAUAUCAUUAAAAAAUAUUCUCUAAAAUAUCUCUAUCUUAUUAAUUAAUUUUCAUCCUUACCUAAAUAAAAUUUAAUAAUUAACAUUAUUACACAUCUUUUUAUAACUUGUGAUGAUUUAUGGUGGUACACUAUUAUUAUGUUUUAUCUUUUUAUUUUCUUCAAAUUAGCAUUAUUUAUUUUCAUAAUUGUUUUAUGAAAUUUUUCAUAUAAAAACAUCAAAACUAUAAUAAAAUCGAUUAACAUAUAUAAUAUAGAAUAUUAAAGAGUUUUAUUCAAUUGAAUAUGAUUCAGAUUAUGAUAAUUUAUUAUCUUAGUUAUAUUCUUUGAGAUGUUUAUUUUUUAACAUUUAUAAUUUAUAAGGGUAUAAAUGUAAAAAUAUUGAUUUUUAGAUUUUUAAGUUGAAAAAAUAAAAAAACUAAAUAUUUAUUUUCAGCGAUUCAGAUAAAAAAAUAAAUAUAUCAUUUAAAUUUAGACAUUCGGCUCUAUUCAUAAUUUAGAUUAAUUAAGGUCUAUUCAGAUUUCAGACAAAAAACAAGUGCCACCUAACUUUUAACUUUGUGAAUGGUAUAUUUAUUCAUACUACAAUUUUUAUAAGUGUAUCAUAGAGUGACCCACAUAACACAAACACACUCUACAUAUAUAUAGGACAUUGUUUGGUUGGCUACACGUGGUGUGCUCCAUCAUGUGUAGCUAGUUUUGCCCUUUGGAUUUACAUCCAAAUCCACUAGUGGCAGAUCUACUAGUGGCCGAUACUGGGCUACAAACAAAAAAUGAAAAUUCAAGUAUGCUAACUAAAUUUACGAAUAUGCCAUCACUGAUUGAUUAAAAGAGUACCAUUCAAUUUUUUUUAAAAAAAUUACUUAAUUCACUUUUUCUUUGCUUUUAUUGACAAUAAUACUAAAAGCCAAGAGUGAAAAAGAAUUGGUGGUUCCCUUCACGAUUUUUCAUCUUCUUCAUCUUUCAAUUUCUUUACCUUUAUAUCUUUUCCUAUCGAUACACUUUCAGUGUUCCUUCUAGUUUCUAUAGACACAAUAGGGUGUGUAUUUUUAGCCAUGAGCCUUAUCAAGAUAUCACUUUACAAGAAUACGGAAAAUGAGUUUCUUUUAAGUUGUAUAAUUAUUUAUGCUGAAAGAGAAAUUAUAUAUACUAUUGAUUCAGAUUCCAUAAUUAAUGAGUUUUGAAAAGUACAAGCCUUAGUAGUAUUUUUCUUUUGAAUUACAUUUUUAUUUUCUACUUUUUUAUAUAAUUAUUUUAUUUAAAGUAAAUAUUACCUGGGAUAAGGCUUCUAAUAUCCCUGUAUUUUAUACUUAUAUACUUAAGAAAUUUUAAGUGCGCUUCACAACAUUAUUUUUUUAAAAAUACAACAUCUUCCUUUCUCUCUUUACUACCAUAUAGGUCACAGUACAAAGGCCUCCCUAUAUUAUUAUUAUCUUUUUUCAGCUCAAUUUAAUAUUUCCUAUGGAUUCCUCAAACUCAAAGCCAGCAGCUGAAGUAGCCUAGGACGUGUCUCCCAUGUUUAAAAUAUACGAAGACGGCAGAGUAGAGAGGCUUAUAGGCAACAAGAUAGUUCCCCCAUCCUUUGAUCCAAAAACAAGCGUUGAUUCCAAAGACGUUGUGUAUUCACCUGAAAAUAAUCUAUCCGCCCGGCUUUACAUCCCCAAAAACACAAACAAUCCAAACCAUAAACUCCCUCUAGUGGUUUAUAUCUAUGGCGGAGGCUUUUGCAUCUAUUCUGCCUUUCAUCCAAUUUACCAUAAUUAUGUUAAUACCCUUGUCUCUGAAGCUAAGGUUAUUACAGUCUCCGUUGACCAUCGACGAGCUCCUGAGAAUCCUGUCCCUUGUGCUCAUGAAGAUUCAUGGGCUGCACUCAAAUGGGUUGCUUCCCAUGCUUAUGGACAAGGCCCUGAAGAUUGGCUUAACUAUUAUGCUGAUUUUGAGCGAGUUUUUAUUUAUGGGGACAGCGCUGGAGGUAAUAUAGCUCAUCACAUGGUGAUGAGACUCCCUCGAGAAAUUCUCGACGGUUUUAAUGUUGUUGGUAUUGUUUUAGCUCAUACUUAUUUUUGGGGAAAAGAACCUGUUGGUAAUGAGACAACUGAUGCCGAAACUAGAGCUUCCAUAGAGAAGAUGUGGUGAGCUGCUUGUCCUGGUACAAGUGGGUGCGAUGAUCCGCUAAUUAAUCCGUUCGUCGGUUCGAGUCUAGCGAACCUCGGGUGCAAAAGGGUGCAGGUUCAUGUUGUAGAGAAGGAUUUGAUGAGAGAUAGAGGAUGGUUUUAUUAUGAGAAGUUAAAGGAAAGUGGUUGAGGAGGUGAAGCGGAGAUCGUUGAGUCUAAAGGAGAGCCGCAUAUCUUCUAUUUGCUCAGUCCCACUUGUGACAGUGCUGUGGCUAUGAGGAAGAAGAUUGUCCUUCUUCAACGAGAUUUAGACAUGAAUUUCUUAUAUAGGUUGUUCAAAUAAGCUACCGCAAUUGAUCUGCUGGAAAUUACAGCACUUCCAAGGUUAUAACGUUUCUUUUUUUUUUUUUUUUUUUUCCCCUUUACCACGUGGAAGGAGAGGUAUUUUCCUAAAUUCACAUCUGUGAUAUAUAUUUCACACUUAGACUUUGAUUUGGUGUAUGUAUGAUAUGGUUGUAUUGUUGGUUAAAAAUUCUCAAAUUAAAUUGCUUCAAUCUCAAAUUUCAAGUCAAAAUUAUGAAAGAAUUGAUGUUAGCACUCAUGGUCUAUACGGAAUUAACAUAAAAAUCAAGUAUAAACUAAAACAAUAUUCAAACCUUUCUAAGAACUAUAUUCAUUGUAAAUCAAGUUCUUACCAUUGGCUUUUCAUAUUUAUAACAAAUAUUUUUUUUUGGAAAUUCUUAAUGGAUUUUUUUUUUAACUUAACAAUAAUUAAAACACAUACUAACUCCCACCCCCAAACUUAUUUUGAGCAUUGUCCUUAAUAUUUCAUAAUCUAAAGAUAUAAAUACAAAAAGGUGAAAGAGAUAAAGAAAUCAUGAAGAAUAAAACAAAAAGUUAGCGAGAUCACACUUGAGCUGGUUGCAAAAGCUUAAAAGAAGAUGACAAAGAACAAGAAAAUGUUAGAAAAUAAAAAUAUUAGGAAACAAAAAUAAACAAAAGUCCUUAGUAUCAUGCGAAAUAAACGAAAAUUUCUCAAAUAAUGACACUAACAAGUCCUCCAGGAUAAACAAGAAUUUGGUUAUAUACUUAGAGUGACUAUCAAGAAAACAAAAAACAAGACUAUUGAACCUCUUGAGCAUAUGAUCUAUGAAAGAAAAAUGCAAGUGACCUCGAUUUUACCAACCUUUUUCACAAUAGGGUUUGGAUUUGGUAUUAUCUCAAGCAUAUGGCUAAAACCAUUCUCAAAGUGAAUCAUAGGUGCAUAGAACGAGGGACUGCAGCUAUCCAACUUAUGGCUUCUUCAUGUUCAUUAAAAAUCAUUAAUUAAUUUACCAACAUGUUUAUUUUAUUUAGUUGCUAAAAUAACAAAGAAGUUUUCUGAAGAUACUUAAGACAGAGAAAUGGAUGACUCAAGUAAUGGUUUCAAGUCUAAUAACGGUCGUUUUUCUAUAGAUGGAGGAGGUAUAGACUUAGAGGGUGGAAGACAGUCUACUUUAGCUAUCCAUUUAUUAAGAUCCAUUAAUGAGGUAGACUCUGGUAUAGAAUUUACUUCACUAAUCAUAGUAUUCGCAUUUAUGUCGAUGCUAAAAUAAGUUGAAUAAUCUUUUACUAGUCAUCUUCAUUGAAAAGCAUAAAGGAAUUAUUGAUUGUACUCUCUAUUAGAUUGACAACUCCAUCAUCAUUAAAAUUCUCUAUAGUAUAAAGUUGUUUACUAACAAUAAACACAUUGAGUUCCAUAGUCAUAUUCCUAAAUGAAAUUCUUAUGACAUCAUUAUGACAAUUAUUAAGAAUUUGUUGUGGCUAAGAACGGUCAACCACUAAUAAGAAUUUGAGAACAUGGGUUCACUACAGGUUCAGUGUCAAGAACUAUGAAGUCGUCAUGAAAGUAGAAUUUAUCUACCUUGACAAGAACAUCCUCUAUAAUCCCUCUAAAAAUGUUGACAGAUUUAUCUAGGGAUGGCAAUGGGGAGGGGAGGGGAGGGGACCAAUCUCCCCGUACCCAUCCCCGAUAUUUUACGUAUGUCCCCGUCCCCUCCCCAUCCCCUCCCCGAAUAAUAACAGGGGAUCCCCGAGGGUCUCCGAUCCCCGAAUAACUAAUACAUUUUUUUGUUUUCAAUUUUGAGUUAAUCAUAUUAAAAUAAAAAAUUCAAAUAAAAGUAAAGUUUGAAAUAUAUCUUACAUUAAUAUCCAUUACAAAAGUCACAUACAUGAAAUUAGUAAGUAACGAUGCAUGCAAGGGAUACAAACUAUCAUGAACAAAUUAAUAGCCUAAUACAAAAUUGUUACAAAUAAAAUCAAUUUUAGAUUCAAAAUUAACUUUUCAAUGGUGGCGUUGGCACUUUAUAAAUGUGGACUAUUCCCUUUACAACACAAUAGUUAAGUCGAAGCAAAUCAAGAGUAAAUAUUAGAUUAGAUUAGAUAUUAAAAUUAUGAUUUGCUGUGGGCAAUUAUAACAUCUAAAAAUAAAUAAAAAAUAGAUUUAAGUUUAAAAGAUUUAAUGAAUAUUAAAAUUAAAACAAAAGUUUUGGGCUAAUAGAAUCUGUCCGGUCUUUUUAAUGUCCUAAAUAAAAAUUUAGGACUUUAAUUAGUUAAUUAGGCCUAAAAGUUUAAUAAUAUAAAUAUUUUGAUAUUUCUAUUUUUACCAAUACUUAUAAUUUUAUAAUUCAAAUUUUAUUAUUUAUUUACUAGUAAUUUUAAAAAAUAAAAAUUAAAUUAAAAAUUAAAAUGGGGAAAUGGGUAAGGGAUGGGGAUUCCACCUCAUCCCCGUCCCCUCCCCGAAUAAGAAAUUGGAUAAAAAAAUUUCCCCUCCCCUUCCCCGAAUAAGAAAUUGGGUAUGAAAUUAUCCUCAUACCCUCCCCGAAUAGGGAAAAUCCCCGAGGGUACCCAUCCCCGUGGGGAUUUUUGCCAUCCCUAGAUUUAUCUACUGAUUAGAGUGAUACAUGAGCGGGUUUCAAGUCUUUAAAUCCUAAUUUCUCAUAGAUAGAGUAUGGCAACAAGUUAACAAUGGCACUUAAAUCAAGUAAAGCUCUAUCAAAUGCAUGGUCUCUAAUAACACAAGAAAUUGAGAUAAACUAGGGUAUUUAUACUUAGUAGGAAUUUUGUUCAGGAGAAUGCUAUUAACCUUUUUAGUUAGGAAUGCCUUUUAUGGGACAUUGUUUUUCCUUUUUACUAUACAAAGAUCUUUUAAGAACUUAGCAUAAGCUGAUAAUCGUUGAAUAACAUCAAGCAAAGGGAUGUUUAUACGAACUUGCUUAAACAUUUCUAGAAUAUCAUUAUAAUGAGUAUCUUUCUCUUAUAGGACAAGUCUUUAUGGGUAAGGAGCUUUGAGAACAUAAGGCUUUGAUUGAAUUCCAUUCUCAUUAGGUUUACUAGGUAAUUGCUUUUCAAUUGAAGUUGGUUGACUUUCUUUCCAAUGCUCAAGAACUUUUAAAUAAUUAUCAAUUGUUUUUCCAAACCUAAGGGUAGUUAUAGAUUUGGCUUUCUUAUUAGGCAUAUUAGAAAUGGAUGAUGAUCUUAUUUCAAAUUGACUUUUAGGGUUAGGAAUUGGUUAACUAAGUAGUUUUUCUUUUUCCCUCUCAGCUACAGUAGUUGCUAAUGGACCCAAUUGAUUUUAAGCUUUAAAAUAACUUUAGUGUUUCAAUGUAAGGCUUAUUGGGUUGACUGAAUGAAAUUUUGAAGUGUAUCUCUAAAAAAUGUAUUCUUUGUGAAAUUCUAUUUAUGCAACUCAAGAGAGGAGAUGAAUUGGGUAACUAAAAAUUAUUCAAUUCUAAAACAAAACUCAAUGCAAAUCUAAAAUGAAUUUAAAGAAAUAACAGAUAAAUCAAUCACAAAAUAAAAAGAUAAGGGAAGAGAGAUUCAAACACGGAGAUUUUUACGUGGUUCGGCCAAACUCGCCUACGUCCACGCCUCCAAGCUUUCCAAGCUUGAGGAUUUCACUAAACAAGCCUCAAAGGCUUCAAAUGCUUACAAUUGACUUCCAAUGUGUAAAUGAACCUUUACAACAAGAGAUUGUCCUCAAUUUCUUAACCCAAGUGUAUCACAACACUUAUAAUCACUCAAAACAAAAAUUAUAAAUUUGUUCUGCACUCACAUAAUACUUAAGAUUACAAAUCAAUGCCCAAUGUGUGACUAAAUGAAGCAAAAAUGUGUUUAAAGUUUUAUGAAGGUUGUAUUCUCUAUUAUGAGUUCAAUGAUAGUGUUGUGAUCAACCUUUGUUUGAAUUUGAAUGAGUUUAUUUAUACUUGGAGCUGAAAAAUAGUUGUUACUGAUUGUCUGCUCGUAAACGGAUCGCUGUUAACCAUUAACGGUUAACCGUUUGGACUGGUCAAAGUUACCGUUGAGCCAAAUUUCAAAUAAACGGUUGACCGUUUAUCACUACCGUUUCACCGUUAAUUUUCAGAGACCUGCAAAACAAAUUUCUACUAUCCGUUCUUACUAAACGGUUAAAUAUUAGUAAGGAAAGACAUUCUAGAAUUUAUCGGUUAGCCGUUUGAAGUUAACGGUUCGCCAGUUAUUUCUAGUAACCUGCAAAACGAAAUAGCCUAAUCUGUUUCUGUUAAACAGUGAAAGAUUAGUACAAGCUUCCAUCCUGGAGUUUAUCGGUUAACUGUUUUCUAUAAAUGAUUCACCGUUUAAUUCUAGUAACCUUCCUAGCAUAUUUGUGUUUUCCAUUUUUGCUAUCCGGUUAGAGCUUAAGCAAUUGACCCUCUCUGGAUUUUAUCGAUUAACCGUUUACUUCCAGAAUCACAGUUUUAGCCAAAUAUUGCACGAAAUCAUUUUCCAUGUUGAAAUUUAAUAACUAUCCAUCUUUCAUGAAUGUAAUUGGAAUGAUUAUAUGGCUUUUGUUUAUUAAUGAAUAGCUCUAACAUUUUAAUAAAAAACAUUUAAAGUUUGUUAUCAUCAAAAUUAAUAUUAUGAAUAUAUACAUGUUAACACUUUGUUAGAGUGCAGUAAAUUGUUGAACAAGAGGAUAUGCUAGGUUAUAAGGGACAAAUUCUUUAUCGGGCAUGCUAAAUUGUUGUCCUCCUCUGUUUGAUAUAGUUUGAUUUUGUUUUUAGAAAAAAAUUAGGGUGAUUCCCUAAUUAGAAUUAUAUGUGGGUAAAUAUGGACUAUUAGAGGAUUUGUCAUAUAAUUGUAAUGCAUGUACUAGCUCAGAAUAAGCCUUUUGAUAGGCUGGUAAUGAAGGACAAUUCUAUGUCAUAUGAGAUAAGUUGGAACAAAUAGCACAAAUUUCAUUAGCUACACUAGGAUGAUGAUUCAUUGAUUGGUUUAUAGUUAAGACUUCGACUUUCUUGGAAAGAUUAGCUAGAGUGGCUUUCACAUCAAACUCAUUAUUAACUUCAUGUAGACCAUUGUCAUGACCCAACCUAGGCCUGGUAAGAUAUUGUCCGCUUUGGGCCUUAAUAAGGCCCGCACGGUUUUGUUCUUGGGGCGCCCAUACACCCCAAAAUGUGUCUUGCCAAUUAAGGUGUGAAUCGCCCCUUAUAAACUCAGCAUCUCUCUCGUGCUUUGUCGAUGUGAGAUUCGCCUAGAAUGUUACAACCAUUAAGUUUUGGACUGAUUUUUCUCUUUAAUUUAAAAUAUCUCAUUGUUAAGAAUUCUUAAAAAGUGAACUGAAGAAAUCCUAAGCAGCCAUUUCAUAUAGGUUCAAAAUCUUGCCACCAUUCAUAAACUCUACCAUACAACAAUUUGAUAUCCAUUAUAAAAGUACUCUACUAGUUUACAUUUCUUAAAACCAUUGUAGGGACACUUAAGGAGUGGUUAUUAAAUCUUUCCCAACACUUAUAAAAUUGUUCACUUUCUCUUUGAUAAAAAUCACUUAUCUCUCUCUCAAGGGCAUUUGUUUUAGAUAUAGGGAAAACCUUAGCGAGAAAUUUAUUGCUCAAUCAUCCCAUGUAGUAAUAGAGCCAGUGGAAAGUGAAUUCAACCAAUUUUUUGCUUUGUCUUUUAAUAAAAAAGGGAACAUAUGAAUCUUAAUUGAAUCAUCGUUAAAAUUUUGGAAUGAAAUGUAGAGCAUAGUACUCAAAUCGUCCAAUUUUAAUUGUUCUCUUUCUCUUUUAAACCCUUCAAUACUUAAAAUAAAAACUCAAAAUCUUCAUUUACAAUUCUCUUUUCUAGUACAAUCUUCUGACGGGCAACUAAUUUUUACAACUCUCUGCAUUCAUCGUUGAUUGUUGUUUCAUUAUCCUUGAGAAUUUUAAUUUAUUAAGUAUUUAGUAUCAUUCUUUUUAGAUUAAUAUAAUUAAUUGCAAAUAUUUUUUAUGUGUACCGCAGUGCUAGAGUAUGAAAAGGAAAUUUGAAUUUCACUAUAUAUUUUUUUAAAAAAGGAAAUUAAUAGCCUUAACAUAUGCAUUACAUCAAGAUAAAUAUAGAAGCUAAAUAUACUAACAAAAGCAAAACAUACAUUUAAUUCCUCUCAUAAACACCGUACUAAUUAAUUAAAGUUGUGUGAUAAACGAAACAAACUUAUUGAUCAACUCUACAGCUUUUUCACAUUUAAGGUUGUCGAAAUAGAAGCUAUGCCCUUCGCCGUGAGUCUCAACAAGCUCCACCGUUCCUUUCCACCCACUUUUCUUCAAGUCUUCGUAGUAAUUCAUAGCUACAGGUUUCAAAAAAUCUUUCUCAGCCACAAAUAUCAAAACCCUCUCACACCCAAGCCUGGCCAGAUCCUCUGCGGGUGGUUUCAGCCGAGGAUCCUGCAACCCUCCGUUUGUUGGACACAUGUACAACCACAGCUCAUCUUCUUCAGGACUAGUGCCACCGAAAAAUGGAUGCACCAUGAUCACCCCAACCACCUUUACACAUGGUAA